AUGUGCAUAGAGGGGGUCGAGUGGAUCCCGGGGGAGUGUGCUGACUGGGGACACGUGAGGGCCGGGCUUGGGACUCAGAAGGAGAGCACUGAACGGAGAAGCUGGGGAGGAAGAGCAGAAGCUGGGGCGGGGAGAGGAGAAGCUGGGGGUGGGGAGGGGAAGCUGGGGAGUGGGAGAGGAAGCUGGGGGAGAGGAGAAACGGGAAAAGAGGAGAAGCUGGGGGUGGGGAGGGGAAGCUGGGGGAGAGGAGAAGCUGGGGGAGGAGAGGAGAAGCAGGGGGAGGAGAGGAGAAGCUGGUCGGGGAGAGGAGAAGCUUAUGGGAAGAGCGGAAGAUGGGGAGGAGAGGGGAAGCUGAGGGGCAGCAGGGAAGCUGGGGGAGAGGAGAAGCUGGUGGGGAGAGGAGGAGCUGGGGUGGGGAAGAGGAGAAACGGGAGAGGGAAGAGGAGAAGCUGGGGGUGGGGAGGAGGAAAAGCUGUGGGGGAGAGGAGAAACUGGGAAGAAAGAGGAGAAGCUGGUGGGGGAGUGGAGGAGAAGCUGGUGGAGGAAAGGAGAAGCUGGCGGGGAGAGGACAAGCUGCGGGGAGAGAAGCUGGGGGAAGAGGACAAGCUGGUGGGGAGAGGAGAAGUUGGGGGCGGGGAGGAGGAGAAGCUGUGGGGAGAGGAGAAACGGGAAAAGAGGAGAAGCUGGUGGGGGAGGAGGAGAAGCUGGGGGAGAGGAGGAGGAGCUGGUGGAGGAAAGGAGAAGCUGGCAGGGGAGAGGACAAGCUGCGGGGAGAGGACAAGCUGGGGGGGGGGAGAGGACAAGCUGGUGGGGAACAGGACAAGCUGGUGGGGAGAGGAGGAGCUGGGGGUGGGGAAGAGGAGAAACGGGAGAGGGAAGAGGAGAAGCUGGUGGGGGAGAGAAGGAGAAGCUUGCGAGGAAGAGGAGAAGCUGGUGGGGGAGAGGAGGAGAAGUUGGCGGGGAGAGGAGAAGCUGCAGGAGAGGAGAAGCUGGGGGGGGGGCGGGGAGGAGGAGAAGCUGGGGAGAAAGAGGAGAAGCUGGGGAGAGGAGAAGCUGGGGGGAGCGGAGUAG
Molecule: long non-coding RNA, 1071 nt
Filed under: Bos grunniens (domestic yak)
Lineage: Eukaryota; Metazoa; Chordata; Mammalia; Artiodactyla; Bovidae
Description: lncRNA (ENSBGRG00000026711.1)
Source: RNAcentral